ACAUCUGUUAAAAGAUAACG
Molecule: small nuclear RNA, 20 nt
Filed under: Arabidopsis thaliana (thale cress)
Lineage: Eukaryota; Viridiplantae; Streptophyta; Magnoliopsida; Brassicales; Brassicaceae
Description: snRNA_04030
Source: RNAcentral